AAAGUAUUUAACUAUAUUUGGAUGAGUGAGCUGACAUAAUAAAGUGACCUCUGCCUCAAGUUGGUCAACAAUCCCUUCAUCUGGCAGUAGAAGUUCCUUCACAGCGAAGAAGAAUCCAUCAGCCGCAAGUCCUUCAUAAACUGAUCCAAAUGAUCCCCUCCCCAGUUGCUUACCCCUCUGCCAAUUUCUAAUGUUACGACCUAGUCUUCUUAUCUUUUGGAAUCGAGACAUCAGCGGAUCACUUUUAUUGCAUUCAUGGUUCAAAAAUUUUCUCUUCUUGCGAUUAAUAGCUCCCUUAGUCUUGCGUACCUUAAUUAUGCGUCUGCCCUUAUUUAUGCGUAGUGACUCAUUAAUGUCUUCAAGCUCCAACCCUUUAAAAGAGAACAAAUGGACGAUUGAUGUACCAAAAACACUAUAAAAUCCGUCUCCGAAAAACGAUACCUGUUUAGAUAGAGAUGCUACAAAACGAUGUUUAAUUAGACGAUCAACAUAAGCCUCCCUCCUACUUUUGCUAUUCACAUAGCUCAGUUCUGUGCUCCAUUGGCACCCCAACAAAGCUUCAGGGAAUUCUAGAACUUCAGAAUCAAUGAACUCACCAUCUAUGAUC
RNAcentral lists this unclassified non-coding RNA (607 nucleotides) under Hevea brasiliensis (rubber tree). The record is from RNAcentral. Lineage: Eukaryota; Viridiplantae; Streptophyta; Magnoliopsida; Malpighiales; Euphorbiaceae.